AAUCAACGCUGGCGGCGUGCCUCAGACAUGCAAGUCGAACGCGAAAGUCUCCUUCGGGGGCGAGUAAAGUGGCGUCCGGGUGAGUAACACGUAGGUAAUCUACCUUUGGGUGGGGAAUAACAACCGGAAACGGUUGCUAAUACCGCAUAAUGCAGCGGCACCACAUGGUGACAGUUGUUAACGCGGGGGAUCGCAAGACCUCGCGCCUAAAGAGGAGCCUGCGGCGGAUUAGCUAGUUGGUAGGGUAACGGCCUACCAAGGCGACGAUCCGUAGCCGGCCUGAGAGGGCGGUCGGCCACACUGACACUGAAAUACGGGUCAGACUCCUACGGGAGGCAGCAGUCGGGAAUUUUGGGCAAUGGGCGCAAGCCUGACCCAGCAAACGCCGCGUGAAGGAUGAAAUCCCUCGGGAUGUAAACUUCGCAAGAAACGGGAAGAAUAAGUGGAGGUAAAUACCCUCCAUGAUAACGGUACCGUUUGUAAGCUCCGGCUAACUCCGUGCCAAGCCGCCGCGGUAACG
This 520-nucleotide ribosomal RNA is filed under the name uncultured bacterium. RNAcentral's name for it is "bacterial SSU rRNA". It matches the Rfam family "Bacterial small subunit ribosomal RNA", at positions 32 to 525 of the family's 1533-position model. The record is from RNAcentral.